AGUUGAGUACGAGCGGCAGCUGCGGGCGCCGGCAAUCGAGUGGCUUCCUGGCCAUGGAGAGGAGAUCUGGACCCGAGGACGCCAGGGACUCCUCUCCGUCUCCCUGGACCGCUGUGUAGGCACCUGAGUUAACGGACGCUAAGCGGGGUAGGGGAAGUAACAGUGUAUCAUGUAUGCCACUGAUUCCAGGGGACACUCCCCUGCUUUCCUCCAACCUCAGAAUGGAAACAGUCGUCACCCAUCUGGCUAUGUUCCAGGGAAGGUUGUCCCAUUGCGUCCCCCUCCUCCUCCAAAGAGUCAAGCUUCAGCCAAAUUUACCUCCAUCAGACGAGAAGACCGGGCAACCUUCGCAUUCUCACCUGAAGAACAGCAAGCCCAGAGAGAAAGUCAAAAGCAAAAGAGACACAAAAAUACUUUCAUUUGUUUUGCUAUUACUAGUUUCUCAUUUUUUAUUGCACUUGCAAUCAUUUUAGGAAUAUCCUCAAAAUAUGCUCCAGAUGGUAAGUGUGUGUGUAUGCACAUAGAACAUAUUCUAGAAGACA
RNAcentral lists this small RNA (542 nucleotides) under Pan troglodytes (chimpanzee). RNAcentral's name for it is "retained intron". Lineage: Eukaryota; Metazoa; Chordata; Mammalia; Primates; Hominidae. The record is from RNAcentral.